UACGUAGGGUCCGAGCGUUGUCCGGAUUUAUUGGGCGUAAAGAGCUCGUAGGCGGCUCGGUAAGUCGGAUGUGAAAACUCGGGGCUCAACCCCGAGACGCCAUCCGAUACUGCCGUGGCUUGAGUCUGGUAGGGGAACACGGAAUUCCUGGUGUAGCGGUGAAAUGCGCAGAUAUCAGGAGGAACACCAAUGGCGAAGGCAGUGUUCUGGGCCAGUACUGACGCUGAGGAGCGAAAGCGUGGGUAGCAAACAGG
RNAcentral lists this ribosomal RNA (254 nucleotides) under uncultured bacterium. Its description in RNAcentral is "partial 16S ribosomal RNA". It matches the Rfam family "Bacterial small subunit ribosomal RNA", at positions 524 to 776 of the family's 1533-position model. The record is from RNAcentral.